This 119-nucleotide ribosomal RNA is filed under the name Hucho hucho (huchen). The record is from RNAcentral. Lineage: Eukaryota; Metazoa; Chordata; Actinopteri; Salmoniformes; Salmonidae.
ACUUACGGCCAUACCAUCCUGAAUACGCCCGAUCUCGUCUGAUCUCGGAAGCUGAGCAGGGUCGGGCCUGGUUAGUCCUUGGAUGGGAGACAGCAUGGGAAUACCAGGUGCUGUCGGUG